This 104-nucleotide small nuclear RNA is filed under the name Sorex araneus (European shrew). Lineage: Eukaryota; Metazoa; Chordata; Mammalia; Eulipotyphla; Soricidae. The record is from RNAcentral.
GUGCUCGCUUCGGCAGCACAUAUACUAAAAUUGGAACGAUACAGAGAUUAGCAUGGCCCCUGCACAAGGAUGACAUGCAAAUUCGUGAAGCGUUCCAUAUUUUU